GUUAGGAAUCUUCCACAAUGGGGGCAACCCUGAUGGAGCAACACCGCGUGCUGGAUGAAGGCCUUCGGGUCGUAAACAGCUUUUGUAUACGAAGAAUAUGACGGUAAUAUACGAAUAAGGGUCGGCUAACUACGUGCCAGCAGCCGCGGUCAUACGUAGGACCCAAGCGUUAUCCGGAGUGACUGGGCGUAAAGAGUUGCGUAGGCGGCUUAUUAAGCGAGUAGUGAAAUCUGGUGGCUCAACCAUCAACACAUUGCUCGAACUGAUAGGCUUGAGAAUGGUAGAGGUAGUUGGAAUGUCUUGUGUAGGAGUGAAAUCCGUAGAUAUAAGAAGGAACACCAAUGGCGUAGGCAGACUACUGGACCAUUUCUGACGCUGAGGCACGAAAGCGUGGGGAGCGAACCGGAUUAGAUACCCGGGUAGUCC
Molecule: ribosomal RNA, 426 nt
Filed under: uncultured bacterium
Lineage: Bacteria
Description: partial 16S ribosomal RNA
Rfam family: Bacterial small subunit ribosomal RNA
Source: RNAcentral